This 1472-nucleotide ribosomal RNA is filed under the name Kocuria rosea subsp. polaris. RNAcentral's name for it is "bacterial SSU rRNA". It matches the Rfam family "Bacterial small subunit ribosomal RNA". The record is from RNAcentral. Lineage: Bacteria; Bacillati; Actinomycetota; Actinomycetes; Micrococcales; Micrococcaceae.
CAUGGCUCAGGACGAACGCUGGCGGCGUGCUUAACACAUGCAAGUCGAACGAUGAUGCCCAGCUUGCUGGGUGGAUUAGUGGCGAACGGGUGAGUAAUACGUGAGUAACCUGCCCUUGACUCUGGGAUAAGCCUGGGAAACUGGGUCUAAUACUGGAUACUACCGUCCAUCGCAUGGUGGGUGGUGGAAAGGGUUUUACUGGUUUUGGAUGGGCUCACGGCCUAUCAGCUUGUUGGUGGGGUAAUGGCUCACCAAGGCGACGACGGGUAGCCGGCCUGAGAGGGUGACCGGCCACACUGGGACUGAGACACGGCCCAGACUCCUACGGGAGGCAGCAGUGGGGAAUAUUGCACAAUGGGCGGAAGCCUGAUGCAGCGACGCCGCGUGAGGGAUGACGGCCUUCGGGUUGUAAACCUCUUUCAGUAGGGAAGAAGCGCAAGUGACGGUACCUGCAGAAGAAGCGCCGGCUAACUACGUGCCAGCAGCCGCGGUAAUACGUAGGGCGCAAGCGUUGUCCGGAAUUAUUGGGCGUAAAGAGCUCGUAGGCGGUUUGUCGCGUCUGCUGUGAAAGCCCGGGGCUCAACCCCGGGUCUGCAGUGGGUACGGGCAGACUAGAGUGCAGUAGGGGAGACUGGAAUUCCUGGUGUAGCGGUGAAAUGCGCAGAUAUCAGGAGGAACACCGAUGGCGAAGGCAGGUCUCUGGGCUGUUACUGACGCUGAGGAGCGAAAGCAUGGGGAGCGAACAGGAUUAGAUACCCUGGUAGUCCAUGCCGUAAACGUUGGGCACUAGGUGUGGGGGACAUUCCACGUUCUCCGCGCCGUAGCUAACGCAUUAAGUGCCCCGCCUGGGGAGUACGGCCGCAAGGCUAAAACUCAAAGGAAUUGACGGGGGCCCGCACAAGCGGCGGAGCAUGCGGAUUAAUUCGAUGCAACGCGAAGAACCUUACCAAGGCUUGACAUUCACCGGACCGUCCCAGAGAUGGGGUUUCCCUUCGGGGUCGGUGGACAGGUGGUGCAUGGUUGUCGUCAGCUCGUGUCGUGAGAUGUUGGGUUAAGUCCCGCAACGAGCGCAACCCUCGUUCUAUGUUGCCAGCACGUGAUGGUGGGGACUCAUAGGAGACUGCCGGGGUCAACUCGGAGGAAGGUGGGGAUGACGUCAAAUCAUCAUGCCCCUUAUGUCUUGGGCUUCACGCAUGCUACAAUGGCCGGUACAAAGGGUUGCGAUACUGUGAGGUGGAGCUAAUCCCAAAAAGCCGGUCUCAGUUCGGAUUGAGGUCUGCAACUCGACCUCAUGAAGUCGGAGUCGCUAGUAAUCGCAGAUCAGCAACGCUGCGGUGAAUACGUUCCCGGGCCUUGUACACACCGCCCGUCAAGUCACGAAAGUUGGUAACACCCGAAGCCGGUGGCCUAACCCCUUUGUGGGAGGGAGCCGUCGAAGGUGGGACUGGCGAUUGGGACUAAGUCGUAACAGG